CGGGGGAGAUAUUUAUAUAAUAGCGGAGGAAAAGAAACCAACAGGGAUUGCCCUAGUAACGGCGAGUGAAGCGGCAACAGCUCAAAUUUGAAAUCUGGCUUCGGCCCGAGUUGUAAUUUGUAGAGGAUGCUUUUGGUGCGGUGCCUUCUGAGUUCCCUGGAACGGGACGCCUUAGAGGGUGAGAGCCCCGUAAAGUUGGACACCAAGCCUAUGUAAAGCUCCUUCGACGAGUCGAGUAGUUUGGGAAUGCUGCUCAAAAUGGGAGGUAAAUUUCUUCUAAAGCUAAAUACCGGCCAGAGACCGAUAGCGCACAAGUAGAGUGAUCGAAAGAUGAAAAGCACUUUGAAAAGAGGGUUAAACAGUACGUGAAAUUGUUGAAAGGGAAGCGCUCAUGACCAGACUUGUGCCCUGCGGAUCAUCCAGCCUUCUGGCUGGUGCACUUCGCUUGGUUCAGGCCAGCAUCGGUUCUCUGAGGGGGAUAAAAGCUUCAGGAACGUAGCUCUCUCGGGAGCAUUAUAGCCUGUUGCAUAAUACCCCUCGGGGGACCGAGGUUCGCGCAUCUGCAAGGAUGCUGGCGUAAUGGUCAUCAGCGACCCGUCUUGAAACACGGACCAAGGAGUCAAGCAUUAGUGCGAGUGUUUGGGUGUAAAACCCGCACGCGUAAUGAAAGUGAACGUAGGUGAGAGCUUCGGCGCAUCAUCGACCGAUCCUGAUGUAUUCGGAUGGAUUUGAGUAGGAGCAUUAACGCUUGGACCCGAAAGAUGGUGAACUAUGCUUGGAUAGGGUGAAGCCAGAGGAAACUCUGGUGGAGGCUCGCAGCGGUUCUGACGUGCAAAUCGAUCGUCAAAUCUGAGCAUGGGGGCGAAAGACUAAUCGAACCAUCUAGUACUGGUACCGAAAAAAACCCUC
RNAcentral lists this ribosomal RNA (909 nucleotides) under Thyridium sp. Its description in RNAcentral is "partial large subunit ribosomal RNA". It matches the Rfam family "Eukaryotic large subunit ribosomal RNA", at positions 26 to 974 of the family's 3401-position model. The record is from RNAcentral. Lineage: Eukaryota; Fungi; Ascomycota; Sordariomycetes; Thyridiales; Thyridiaceae.